CCUGCAGCCCCUCCUUUCCCUGGAUAAUUCUGUGACAACGCGGUUUUCGGACACGGGCGACGUGCGUGUGACGGUGCAGGCUGCCUGUGGGAACUCGGUGCUGCAGGACUCCAGGGUCCUCCGUGUGCUGGAUCAAUUUCAAGUCAUGCCUCUGCAGUUUUCCAAGGAGCUGGAUGCCUACAACCCCAACACCCCUGAGUGGAGGGAAGACGUGGGCCUGGUGGUCACCCGGCUGCUCUCCAAGGAGACCAGCGUCCCUCAGGAGCUUCUGGUGACUGUGGUGAAGCCGGGGCUGCCCACUUUGGCCGACCUGUACGUGCUCCUGCCCCCUCCCAGGCCCACAAGGAAGAGGAGCCUCUCGAG
RNAcentral lists this long non-coding RNA (363 nucleotides) under Pan troglodytes (chimpanzee). RNAcentral's name for it is "long non-coding RNA NONPTRT012395". Lineage: Eukaryota; Metazoa; Chordata; Mammalia; Primates; Hominidae. The record is from RNAcentral.